RNAcentral lists this ribosomal RNA (253 nucleotides) under uncultured bacterium. Its description in RNAcentral is "partial 16S ribosomal RNA". It matches the Rfam family "Bacterial small subunit ribosomal RNA", at positions 524 to 776 of the family's 1533-position model. The record is from RNAcentral.
UACGGAGGGUGCAAGCGUUAUCCGGAUUCACUGGGUUUAAAGGGUGCGUAGGCGGAACAGCAAGUCCGUUGUGAAAUCUCCGAGCUUAACUCGGAAAUUGCGGUGGAUACUAUUGUUCUUGAAUACUGUUGAGGUUAGCGGAAUAUGUCAUGUAGCGGUGAAAUGCAUAGAUAUGACAUAGAACACCAACUGCGAAGGCAGCUGGCUAAACAGAUAUUGACGCUGAGGCACGAAAGCGUGGGGAUCAAACAGG